AUGGGAACGCGAAGAACCUUACCUACUCUUGACAUCCAGAGAACUUUCCAGAGAUGGAUUGGUGCCUUCGGGAACUCUGAGACAGGUGCUGCAUGGCUGUCGUCAGCUCGUGUUGUGAAAUGUUGGGUUAAGUCCCGCAACGAGCGCAACCCGUUAUCCUUUGUUGCCAGCGGUUCGGCCGGGAACUCAAAGGAGACUGCCAGUGAUAAACUGGAGGAAGGUGGGGAUGACGUCAAGUCAUCAUGGCCCUUACGAGUAGGGCUACACACGUGCUACAAUGGCGCAUACAAAGAGAAGCGACCUCGCGAGAGCAAGCGGACCUCAUAAAGUGCGUCGUAGUCCGGAUUGGAGUCCGCAACUCGACUCCAUGAAGUCGGAAUCGCUAGUAAUCGUAGAUCAGAAUGCUACGGUGAAUACGUUCCCGGGUCUUGUACACACCG
This 440-nucleotide ribosomal RNA is filed under the name uncultured bacterium. RNAcentral describes it as "bacterial SSU rRNA". It matches the Rfam family "Bacterial small subunit ribosomal RNA", at positions 954 to 1392 of the family's 1533-position model. The record is from RNAcentral.